GCGCUUAUAGCUCAGGGGAUAGAGCGCCGGUCUCCGGAACCGGGUGCGCAGGUUCGAAUCCUGCUAGGCGCACCA
This 75-nucleotide transfer RNA is filed under the name Veillonella sp. Its description in RNAcentral is "tRNA-Arg". It matches the Rfam family "tRNA". Rfam says of the family: Transfer RNA (tRNA) molecules are approximately 80 nucleotides in length. The record is from RNAcentral. Lineage: Bacteria; Bacillati; Bacillota; Negativicutes; Veillonellales; Veillonellaceae.